This 463-nucleotide ribosomal RNA is filed under the name uncultured bacterium. Its description in RNAcentral is "bacterial SSU rRNA". It matches the Rfam family "Bacterial small subunit ribosomal RNA", at positions 28 to 507 of the family's 1533-position model. The record is from RNAcentral.
GAUGAACGCUGGCGGCGUGCUUAACACAUGCAAGUCGAACGGUGAAGAGGAGCUUGCUCCUCGGAACAGUGGCGGACGGGUGAGUAACACGUGAGCAACCUGGCUCUAAGAGGGGGACAACAGUUGGAAACGACUGCUAAUACCGCAUAACGUAUCGGGAUGGCAUCUUCCUGAUACCAAAGAUUUUAUCGCUUAGAGAUGGGCUCGCGUCUGAUUAGAUAGUUGGCGGGGUAACGGCCCACCAAGGCAACGAUCAGUAGCCGGCCUGAGAGGGUGAACGGCCACAUUGGGACUGAGACACGGCCCAAACUCCUACGGGAGGCAGCAGUGGGGAAUAUUGCACAAUGGGGGAAACCCUGAUGCAGCGACGCCGCGUGGAGGAAGAAGGUUUUCGGAUUGUAAACUCCUGUCGUUAGGGACGAUAAUGACGGUACCUAACAAGAAAGCACCGGCUAACUACGUG